This is a long non-coding RNA of Cercocebus atys (sooty mangabey), 186 nucleotides long. RefSeq lists it as uncharacterized. The record is from RefSeq and is a predicted model, not a curated record. The transcript has 2 exons. Lineage: Eukaryota; Metazoa; Chordata; Mammalia; Primates; Cercopithecidae.
UUGCAAGAUGGUUGUCUCUCCUUCUUCCUGAAUAAGACAAUGUACCACUGUUACAAGAUUCCAAGUGAAUUCCUUCAAAGGAAGAGAAGGAUAACAUAAGAAGGCUUGGAUGACAGACUUUCAGUUAAACUUACAAAGAAAGAACAGUGCAGCACCAUCUAUGCCUACCUUUUUCUCAGAGUUUAU